RNAcentral lists this ribosomal RNA (387 nucleotides) under uncultured bacterium. RNAcentral's name for it is "bacterial SSU rRNA". It matches the Rfam family "Bacterial small subunit ribosomal RNA", at positions 28 to 417 of the family's 1533-position model. The record is from RNAcentral.
GACGAACGCUGGCGGCGUGCUUAACACAUGCAAGUCGAGCGGUAAGGCCCUUUCGGGGGUACACGAGCGGCGAACGGGUGAGUAACACGUGGGUGACCUGCCUUUAGCUCUGGGAUAAGCCUGGGAAACUGGGUCUAAUACCGGAUAUGACUCCAUGAUGCAUGUUGUGGGGUGGAAAGCCUUGUGCGGCUGGAGAUGGGCCCGCGGCCUAUCAGCUUGUUGGUGGGGUGAGGCCUACCAAGGCGACGACGGGUAGCCGGCCUGAGAGGGCGACCGGCCACACUGGGACUGAGACACGGCCCAGACUCCUACGGGAGGCAGCAGUGGGGAAUCUUGCGCAAUGGGCCAAAGCCUGACGCAGCGACGCCGCGUGAGGGAUGACGGCCU